This 500-nucleotide ribosomal RNA is filed under the name uncultured bacterium. Its description in RNAcentral is "partial 16S ribosomal RNA". It matches the Rfam family "Bacterial small subunit ribosomal RNA", at positions 29 to 523 of the family's 1533-position model. The record is from RNAcentral.
AUUGAACGCUGGCGGCAUGCCUUACACAUACAAGUCGAACGGCAGCGCGGACUUCGGUCUGGCGGCGAGUGGCGAACGGGUGAGUAAUACAUCGGAACGUACCCUGUUGUGGGGGAUAACUAGUCGAAAGAUUAGCUAAUACCGCAUACAACCUGAGGGUGAAAGUGGGGGACCGCAAGGCCUCACGCAGCAGGAGCGGCCGAUGUCUGAUUAGCUAGUUGGUGGGGUAAAGGCCCACCAAGGCGACGAUCAGUAGCUGGUCUGAGAGGACGAUCAGCCACACUGGGACCGAGACACGGCCCGGACUCCUACGGGAGGCAGCAGUGGGGAAUUUUGGACAAUGGGGGCAACCCUGAUCCAGCAAUGCCGCGUGUGUGAAGAAGGCCUUCGGGUUGUAAAGCACUUUUGUCCGGAAAGAAAUCGCGCUGGUUAAUACCUGGCGUGGAUGACGGUACCGGAAGAAUAAGCACCGGCUAACUACGUGCCAGCCGCCGCGGUAA